This 467-nucleotide ribosomal RNA is filed under the name uncultured bacterium. Its description in RNAcentral is "partial 16S ribosomal RNA". It matches the Rfam family "Bacterial small subunit ribosomal RNA", at positions 28 to 507 of the family's 1533-position model. The record is from RNAcentral.
GACGAACGCUGGCGGCGUGCUUAACACAUGCAAGUCGAACGGAAAGGCCUCUUUCGGGGGGUACUCGAGUGGCGAACGGGUGAGUAACACGUGAGUAACCUGCCCUUGACUUUGGGAUAACUUCAGGAAACUGGGGCUAAUACCGGAUAGGAGCUCCUGCUGCAUGGUGGGGGUUGGAAAGUUUCGGCGGUUGGGGAUGGACUCGCGGCUUAUCAGCUUGUUGGUGGGGUAGUGGCUUACCAAGGCUUUGACGGGUAGCCGGCCUGAGAGGGUGACCGGCCACAUUGGGACUGAGAUACGGCCCAGACUCCUACGGGAGGCAGCAGUGGGGAAUAUUGCACAAUGGGUGGAAGCCUGAUGCAGCAACGCCGUGUGCGGGAUGACGGCCUUCGGGUUGCAAACCGCUUUCGCCCAUGACGAAGCUUUGUGUGACGGUAGUGGGUAAAGAAGCACCGGCUAACUACGUG